Molecule: ribosomal RNA, 1305 nt
Filed under: Triticum aestivum (bread wheat)
Lineage: Eukaryota; Viridiplantae; Streptophyta; Magnoliopsida; Poales; Poaceae
Description: partial small subunit ribosomal RNA
Source: RNAcentral
AUGGGAAGCAAGCAAGCAGAGGAGAUCAAGAAUCUCCUUCUCAAGAUAAUAAUUCCCUUGGCUUUUCCCCUGGCAGGUUCUUUUAUCUGCGGCCUCAUAGCAGAUAGAGCAAUCAGGCACAGUGACCUAGACUCAUCUGAUAACUCAAUCCAGUUGGAUCAAUCAUCGUCAGACGGUUUGAGAUUGAUUCAAGGAGAGGAGGGAGGAGGAGAAAUGGAGUCCCCGAACCGGGCGCCGCGGAAGCUGGUGCAAGCGGAGACCCCCUACAGCACCGGCAGGGUCGUCGGCGGUGGACAUGCGAAGCAGGCUUCUCUCACUGAAGAAAUCAUGGUGGCGCAGGACACCGAGAGCUCAUCGGAAGUUUCAGUCAACAACCAGAGGCUCCAGGACGUUCAGGGGACGCCCGCCGGCGCCGAAGAGGUCGGGAGCCUGAAGCGCGUGGUGUCGGCCCUCGAAGAGCGGGCCGCCGGCAUCGAGAAGCGGUUCCAGGACUACUGUGACGCGAAGGAGCAGGAGGCGACGUACCAGAAGAUGCAGAUCAUGUGCCUGGGGAUGAAGCUGGAGCUGCUAGAGUCCCAGAACCAGCGGCUUGAGGCGGCCGCCACGGAGAUCCGGGCCGCCGCCGAAGAGUUCGCCGUGAUGCGGGCGGGCCUCGACGCGCUGCAGAGCAAGUUCAGGAAGGUCGCCAAGAAGAGCAGGCAAGAGUUCGACGCCAUUGAUGGGAGGAUCCUGGCCUUGGAUGCCCGGGAGGCAGAGAUGGCGGCGAGGUGCCGAGGCUUUGAGCAGCUCAUGGCGGAGAUGAAGGAGCUGGUUUCGCAGCUGCAGAAGGGGAAAGGAACAGACAGUGAGAGCGUGGAGGUCGCCGUGGAGAGGAGCAUGCGGAAGCUGUCGAGCAGCAAGGACCUGCUGGACGGGAUGGGGGUGCUCCGGGACCGGUGGGCGGCGGACAUGGAGGAGCUCAUCUACCUCGGCUGGAUCACGGCGUGGCUGCAGCACGACCUCCUGGUCAGCGACGGCGAGGGCGGCGCCGCCAAGGGCCCGGCGGCGAUUGGGGACGACGACGACGAUGGCACCCACCCGACGGCGGAGGAGCAGCGCAAGAAGGGGGAGAAGAUGGUGGCGGUGGCCGCGCCGAUCAACGAGGUGGAGCUCCGCAAGACGUCGUCCAACGCGUCGUCGUGCGCCGCGGGAGAGGAGUCGUGCAUGGGGCUGGCGGGCUGCAGGACGGGAAUCGGACGCCCGAGAUUGCUCCGCAAGAUCAGAGGGUGGGCCAAGGGAAAGGGUCCAAGCAAGAGCAGUGAGUGA